UUGUUUGCUGGAAGACAAAUAGUGGUAGUAAAAGAAAAAAGAGAGUGAAAUCUCUGGCUAGAGCAGUGAAAAUUAAAUCAGAAUCUCUUGUGAGAGCUGAUUUAAACAAAAGCAGUCAAGCUCAUAAUUGCCCCAAAUUCACUUUUCUAUUGAGCCACACUCCUGCAGUCUCUCACACAAGAAUCAUCUCAAAAACCAGUAACUGCCUGCGCCUUUGAUUCUCACCCUCAUAGCACAGAUAGAUUCAAAGCAAGACAAAGCUGUCUGAACUUCCUCUACAUUCCUGAAAAGAAAAGCCAGAAAGUGUUUAUAGUGCCAUCAAUAAUAACAAUAAAAUGCUGUUGCGUAAAGGUGUCUCUCAAUGAAGAUGAAAAAAAGAACACUACAUAAGACAAUAGACCUGGUGUGACCAAACAUCAAAAGGGUGCAGAUUAGUCCAUAUCAAAAUACCUCAGGGGGUCCAGUCAUCAAAAUAUUAUUUAUGAAUUCUGAAAAUACAAAAUACUGCAUGAUGGGUGAUAUAUAUAUGUAUGUAAUAUGUGUAUGUACGUAUGUAUGUGUCACAAAUCGUGACGGAGCAGAGAUAAGGCGGAUGCAAGUGCAGGACAACAGUUGUUUAUUUGUAGAGACAGGCAGGCAGACAAAUCCAAAACGUGAUCCAAAACGUAAUCCAUAAACAUGCAAGAGGUCAGGCGAUUGGCAAACAGGCAUACACGGGGCUAGGCAGGAAUCUAGGUCGAUAACCACAACAAGACACAAACUAGCACGAGGGACUGGAAGCGGAGAAUCCAGCGCGAACUGACUAUGACUAUGACUAUGACGUGAACUAAACUAACGCUAAACAUUUACUUACUACUUACGACUUAUUACUUAAUCUUCCUCCUUGUGUGCUGGGAAGCGCGCGGUAUAUAUGCCGACAUGAUCAGCGUCUCAACUGCUAUCAGCUGAGAGCAAUUCAGACCCACGUGAAUUCCCAGCCAAUGACGGAACAGGGAGGAGACAUGACAGACAUAAACAAAACACACGUGUCCCAAUGUCACUACGGUCAACAGCGGAAAAGCAGGUGCUCGCACAUUCGUGCUUAGAGCACACUGCUUCAAGGGGGAAUCGUGACAGAACCUCCCCUCAAAGGCACUCCUCCCGGAGUGCCAUGAGUCAUCCCAUUUCAUUGGCGGCCCCGGCCCCCUGGGCUGAAUGUCCCGAGCAGAGCCAGGAAACUGCACGAUGUUCUUGGCAGCGUAGGGAAGCAGAGCGACGACCUCAGCUGGACAGGGACAUUAUGUUUAUGUACUAUGUGAAGCUUUAAUAUCAGUAUCUCUUUGGACCCCCUUGUGCAGCUAUAACUGCAACUAAAAGUUUCUGGUAACUGUUGUUCAGUACUGCACAUCAGUUGGAAAAAUUUUAGCCCAUUCCGCAGUACAUAACAGCGUCAAGUCUGGGAUGUUGGUGGGUUUCCUUACAUGAAUGAUUGCUUCAGGUCUUUCCACAACAUUUCUUUUUAAGGUCAGGACUUUGACUUGAUCAUUCCAAAACAUUAACUUAAUUAUUCUUUAAACGUUCUUUGGUAGAAUGACUUAUGUGCUUAGGGUCAUUGUCUUACUGCACGCCCCACUUUCUCUUGAGAUUCAGUUCACAGAUGUCCUGACAUUUUCCUUUAGUAUUUGUUGGUAUAAUUUUUCCAUCAAUGAUGGCAAGUCAUCCUGACCCAGAUGCAACAAAACAGGUUGUUUCACAGAUGGGAUAAGGUUCUUAUUCUGGAAUGCAGUGUUUUCCUUUCUCCAAUCAUAACCCUUCUCAUAUAAGCCAAAAAUCUUAUUUUGAUUUCAUCUGUACACUAAACAUUUUUUCAUUAGCCUUCUGGCUUGUCCACGUGGUAUUUAGCAAGCUACAGAAGGGCAGCAAUGUUCAUUUUGGGGAGCAGUGGCUUUCUCCUUGCAGGCCUGCCAUGCACACCAUUGUUGUUCAGUGUUCUCCUGAUUUUGGACUCAAUAACAUUAAAAUUAGUCAAUUUGAUAGAGGUCUUUAGUUGCAUAGAAGUUACCCUGGGCUCCUUUAUGACCUCGCGAACUAUUACAUGUCUUGCUCUUAGACUGAUCUUUGUUGGUCGACCACUCCUGGAGAGGGUAACAGUGUUCGUGAAUUUCCUCCAUUUGUAUAUAAUCUGUCUGACUAUGGAUUGAUGGAGUCCAUAGAGAUGGUUUCAUAACCUUUUCCAGCAUGAUGAGCAUAAACAACUCUUUUGGAGGUCCUCAGAAAUCUCCUAUGUUCAUGCCAUGAUUCACUUCCACCAACAUGUGUUGUGAAGAUCAGACACGGAUAGAUCCCUGUUCUUUAAAUAAAACAGGGUGCUCACUCACACUUGAUUGUCAUCCCAUAAAUUGAAAAUGCCUGACUCUGAUUUCACCUUCAAAUUAUAUGCUAAUCAUAGAGGUUCACAUACUUUUGCCACUCACAAAUAUGUAACGUUGCAUCAUUUUUACUAAUAAAUAAAUGAACAAGUACAACCCCAAUUCCAAAAAAGUUGAGACACUGAGUAAAAUGUAAAUAAAAAUAGAAUGCAAUGAUUUGCAAAUCUCAUAAACCCAUAUGUUAUUCACAAGAAAACAUAGAAAACAUAUCAAAUGUUUAAACUGAGGAAAUAUACCAUUUUAAGGAAAAAAUAAGGUAAUUUUGAAUUUGAUGGCCACAACGUGUCUCCCACAACAUGUCUCAAAAAAGUUGGGAUGGUGGCAACAAAAGGCUGGAAAAGUAAGUGUUACUAAAAAUAAACAGCUGGAGGAAUAGACAUCAGAGGAGAAGGAAAAGGGGGGAGUGAGGAAAAAUGGGGAAAAGUCAGAGUUGGGUGGUGGUUUUGGUUCCCGGCACAUUGGGUCCAGGAAGCUGGGUCCUAGGGAGGAGUAGGGAGAAGAGAGAGAGAGUGAGGAAAAAGAGAGAUGCCUGGACAAGGAACUGCCAACAAGUGAUUCCCUGUCAGCAUCAUCCAGGGAUGCAGGCUGGUUGCAUUCCUGUCAGGAGUGGAGUCAAUCAAUGAAUUGCUCCAGUAUCACCAGCUCAGUGACCUGUUCUGUGUCCUAUUCCUCUUCCAUCAACCACCACCAAGCAUUUGAUGGUGGAGUGAGUGGCCCCUUUAUGUCCCAUUAUGUUCUCUCUCUCUGUCGAGCUACACAUGCUACUCCUGAGACACCAGUGAUCCUGAACCCUUCUGCUGUCUGGACCUGCCUGAUCUAUCCUGAUGCCCUACUUCUGGUUAAGUUCUCAUCACUUGGAAGUCACUCGCUGUUGCUGAGGAUGGCCCUACAUGAACAAAGAUCAUGAACAAAGAUUACUGAGGAUGGUGCCACUUAAAAACGACAAAGAGGACUUUGUACUGCAACUAAUAUGAACAGUUUUGCUAGAAUUGCUACGAUAGCCUUAGGACUGCAAUUGUCUUGAACAGUUCUGUACUUGAGUUUCCUGGUUAUGAAUUUCCUGGUUACACAAUUGCACUUUUUGACCAUGUAGUAUACGAUUAUAACAGGGAAUUAUUUAUAAUCGAACUAUCCGGUGUCACCCAGAUGAGGAUGGAUUCCCUUUUGAGUCUGGUUUCUCUCAAGGGUUGUUCCUCAUAUAAUCUCAGGGAGUUUUUCCUUGCCACUGUCAUCUCUGGCUUGCUUAUUUGGGAAAAAUUUCUGAAUUUAAAUCCUGAAUUUGUAUAUUUCUACACAGCUGCUUUGUGAACAUGUCUAUUGUUAAAAGCACUAUACAAAUACAGGAGUCCUUCAGCUGCUGUGUGUAGGUGAAGAGACAGCCCACGUAGAAACACCCUAGAAAAGCUAAAAGACCGUUCUCUCUGGCCGGGGAUGGAUUCAGAGGUCCGGGGCUUCUACCAACAGUGCCCCCAGUGCCAGCGCACCGCCCCACUGAGGCCCCCACCGGCUCCCCUUAUCUAUUUGCCCAUCAUAGGCGUCCCCUUCGAGAGGGAUGACAUGGACCUCGUGAGGGCCAUUCCCCAAAUCUGCCCGAGGCCACAAGUACAUACUCAUCAUCCUGGAUUACCCCACCCGAUACCCCAAGGCGGUGCCACUCCAGAAAGUCACCUCCCGUAACAUUGCGAAAGAGCUGAUGAUACUGUUCAGCCAUGUGGGAAUACUGAAGGACAUCUUGACCGACCAAGGUACGCCUUUCAUCUCCAAACUAAUGUCUGGUCUGUGUCGGCUGUUGUAGGUUAAGCACCUAAAGGCGUCCGUCUACCACCCCCAGACUGAUGGGCUCGUUGAGAGGUUCAACCAGACCUGGUAGGAACAUAUGAGAGCUGCCCAGGAGGAGCAGAAACGAGUGUACGCAGUCAAGGGCCAUACACAUUCCUCGAGUGGUAGAUGGCCAUAAACUAUCGCCUGCAACAGCCCGGGAUGACGCAGCUGGUCCACCAUGACAUCAAGACCUGGCGGGAGUGGUGGUGCAACAGCAGCCCUAUUGUGUCCCGGAGGCCCGCCUCCAGACUAUUGAGGAGGAGAUCGGCCAAAUGCUGCGGGACAACAUCAUUGAGGAAUCCAACAGCCCCUGGUCCAGCCCUAUCGUAGUCGUGCCGAAACCUGACGGAGGUAUGCACCUAUGCAAUGACUUCCGGAAGCUGAACCAGAUCUCAGAAUUCGACAGCUAUCCCCUCCCCCGAGUGGACGACCUAGUGGAGCGGUUGGGGAGGGCCCGGUUCAUAUCCACCCUCGACCUCACCAAAGGAUACUGGCAAGCAGCCUUGGCCCCAGAGGCAAGACCGAAGACGGCCUUCAGCAUGGCGAACGGCCACUGGUAAUAACGGGUUCUCCCCUUCGGGCAGCGACUGAUGGACAUUGUCCUGCGUCCCCAUCGUCCCUUCGCAGCUGCCUACCUGGACGAUGUGGUCAUCCACUCCUCCACUUGGUUGGACCACUUGUUCCACCUGGGGGAGGUCCUGAAAGAGCUCCGGAAGGCCGGGCUGACAGCCAACCCCAAAAAGUGCCACUCGGGGCUGACUGAGGCACAGUACCUCGGGUACCGUAUCAGCCGGGGCCUACUAAAGCCUCAGAUGAAGAAAAUUGAGGCAGUGAAAGACUAUCUCUGGCCUACAUCCAAAAAACAGGUACGUGCCUUCUUGGGGUUGGCGGGGUAUUACCGCUGAUUUGUGCCUAACUUCUCCUCUGUAGCCUCCUCCCUUUCAGAUCUCACGAAAAAGGGUCAGCCGGACCGGGUGAAGUGGUCGGCAAGAGCGGAACGGGCCUUCCAAGCCGUGAAAGAAACCCUCACCAGCGCCCCAGUGCUACACAACCCAGACUUCGCCCUUCCAUUCACCAUGCACACAGAUGCAGCGGAGAGGAACACCCGGUCUUCUACAUCAGUCGGAAGUUGUCCCCGCUGAAAGGAAGUAUGCAGCCAUGGAAAGAGAGUCCCUGGCUACAAUGUGGGCCAUCGAAGACCUACGAUACUACCUGGCCGGUCGGCACAACCUGGUGACAGACCAUACCCCACUACAGUGGAUGGCCAAAGCCAAGGACACUAACACCAGGGUAACCUGAUGGUUCCUCUCGUUAUAGGACUUCUCUUUCCAGGUCGAGCACCGGGCGGGGAGCCACCAUGGAAAUGCAGAUGGCCUCCCGCGACGGCAUGCACUGUGGGCCCAACACGCGGCGGCAGUAAGCUCGGAGCUGAGGGAGGGUACUGUCGCGACGGACCGACAGCCGGCACACAAGAGACAAAGAUUGCUCCUCCCGUGACUGCCGCGCCGGUGCUGAAGAGACAGCUCCGCUUCAGCACCAACAAUGUUUUGGACAGUCGGAGAGCAGGUGGCGGCGGGGCGGGGCCGCCAACACACACAAGGCCGGUGAAUGGUGUGCGGCAUGGGAGAAUUCCACCAUCCAGCAGGCAAGGGGAAAGUAUAAAAGGGCGCUGUUCCACUUGCAAAGGAAGAGAAGUCUCGCAGUACAUACGACUCAGACGCGAUCGAGGACUCCGCCCCCUGUCUGUAAACGUGGCGUUGCCUGACAGCCGAACGGAGCCCCCGGAAAGCAUGACUCCAGCAACCCCGCAGACGACUGAGAUCCUCACCGCACGAUUACACGCCCACACUCAAGCACACACACACACACAUACGUGCACCGACACACCCCCACCAGACUGUCUUGAAUAAAGAUCCUCCACUGUAACACUAAAACUACCUCCCGUGUAUCUGUGCUCCGCCUAC
Long non-coding RNA from Ictalurus punctatus (channel catfish), 6193 nucleotides. RefSeq lists it as uncharacterized. Lineage: Eukaryota; Metazoa; Chordata; Actinopteri; Siluriformes; Ictaluridae. The transcript is spliced from 3 exons. The record is from RefSeq and is a predicted model, not a curated record.